This 1137-nucleotide ribosomal RNA is filed under the name uncultured bacterium. RNAcentral describes it as "bacterial SSU rRNA". It matches the Rfam family "Bacterial small subunit ribosomal RNA", at positions 353 to 1482 of the family's 1533-position model. The record is from RNAcentral.
AGUGGGGAAUAUUGCACAAUGGGGGAAACCCUGAUGCAGCCAUGCCGCGUGUAUGAAGAAGGCCUUCGGGUUGUAAAGUACUUUCAGUCGUGAGGAAGGGUGUGUAGUUAAUAGCUGCAUGCCUUGACGUUAGCGACAGAAGAAGCACCGGCUAACUCCGUGCCAGCAGCCGCGGUAAUACGGAGGGUGCGAGCGUUAAUCGGAAUUACUGGGCGUAAAGCGCAUGCAGGCGGUCUGUUAAGCAAGAUGUGAAAGCCCGGGGCUCAACCUCGGAACCGCAUUUUGAACUGGCAGACUAGAGUCUUGUAGAGGGGGGUAGAAUUUCAGGUGUAGCGGUGAAAUGCGUAGAGAUCUGAAGGAAUACCGGUGGCGAAGGCGGCCCCCUGGACAAAGACUGACGCUCAGAUGCGAAAGCGUGGGGAGCAAACAGGAUUAGAUACCCUGGUAGUCCACGCCGUAAACGAUGUCUACUUGAAGGUUGUGGCCUUGAGCCGUGGCUUUCGGAGCUAACGCGUUAAGUAGACCGCCUGGGGAGUACGGUCGCAAGAUUAAAACUCAAAUGAAUUGACGGGGGCCCGCACAAGCGGUGGAGCAUGUGGUUUAAUUCGAUGCAACGCGAAGAACCUUACCUACUCUUGACAUCCAGAGAAGUGACCAGAGAUGGUUUCGUGCCUUCGGGAACUCUGAGACAGGUGCUGCAUGGCUGUCGUCAGCUCGUGUUGUGAAAUGUUGGGUUAAGUCCCGCAACGAGCGCAACCCUUAUCCUUGUUUGCCAGCACAUAAUGGUGGGAACUCCAGGGAGACUGCCGGUGAUAAACCGGAGGAAGGUGGGGACGACGUCAAGUCAUCAUGGCCCUUACGAGUAGGGCUACACACGUGCUACAAUGGCGUAUACAGAGGGCUGCCAACCAGCGAUGGUGAGCGAAUCCCACAAAGUACGUCGUAGUCCGGAUCGGAGUCUGCAACUCGACUCCGUGAAGUCGGAAUCGCUAGUAAUCGUGAAUCAGAAUGUCACGGUGAAUACGUUCCCGGGCCUUGUACACACCGCCCGUCACACCAUGGGAGUGGGCUGCACCAGAAGUAGAUAGCUUAACCUUCGGGAGGGCGUUUACCACGGUGUGGUUCAUGACUGGGGUG